GACGUAGGGCGCGAGCGUUGUCCGGAUUUAUUGGGCGUAAAGAGCUCGUAGGCGGCUUGUCGCGUCGUCCGUGAAAACUUGUGGCUUAACCACAGGCUGGCGGUCGAUACGGGCAGGCUGGAGUUCGGUAGGGGAGACUGGAGUUCCUGGUGUAGCGGUGAAAUGCGUAGAUAUCAGGAAGAACAUCGGUGGCGAAGGCGCUCUGCUGGACCAUAACUGACACUCAGGGACGAAAGCUAGGGGAGCGAAUGGG
This 253-nucleotide ribosomal RNA is filed under the name uncultured bacterium. RNAcentral describes it as "partial 16S ribosomal RNA". It matches the Rfam family "Bacterial small subunit ribosomal RNA", at positions 524 to 776 of the family's 1533-position model. The record is from RNAcentral.